Molecule: ribosomal RNA, 253 nt
Filed under: uncultured bacterium
Lineage: Bacteria
Description: partial 16S ribosomal RNA
Rfam family: Bacterial small subunit ribosomal RNA
Source: RNAcentral
UACGAAGGGGGCUAGCGUUGCUCGGAAUCACUGGGCGUAAAGGGUGCGUAGGCGGGUCUUUAAGUCAGGGGUGAAAUCCUGGAGCUCAACUCCAGAACUGCCUUCGAUACUGGGAGUCUCGAGUUCGGGAGAGGUGAGUGGAAUUCCCAGUGUAGCGGUGAAAUGCGUAGAUAUCAAGAGGAACACCAGUGGCGAAGGCGAGUCCCUGGACAACACCUGACACUGAGGCACGAAAGCUAGGGGAGCAAACAGG